UGUUAUAAAAAACGCUAAUUUUGAAGCGCUCCCACACUGGACAUCCCUUUAUUCCUGUCAAGAAUGAUAGAAUCAUUCUUGAUACACGCUAUUAUGGCUUAUGACAAGCCAAUAUAAAUAUAUUGGCUAAGUCUCCCAUACAAAAUAAGGUAAUAGCUUGGUCAAAUAAAACACGCCUAAUAUGUACAAGUAUGUAUAUUAACAAUGCAUUCUAACACUAUGUAUCGGGUGAUUUUUUAAGAGCUUGAUAACUUUUUUAAAAAAAAAACGCAUAAAAUUUGCAAAAUCUCAUCGGUUCUUUAUUUGAAACGUUAGAUUGGUUCAUGACAUUUACUUUUUGAAGAUAAUUUCAUUUAAAUGUUGACCGCGGCUGCGUUUUAGGUGGUCCAUUCGGAAAGUCCAAUUUUGGGCAACUUUUUCGAGCAUUUCGGCCGGAAUAGCCCGAAUUUCUUCGGAAAUGUUGUCUUCCAAAGCUGGAAUAGUUGCUGGCUUAUUUCUGUAGACUUUAGACUUGACGUAGCCCCACAAAAAAUAGUCUAAAGGCGUUAAAUCGCAUGAUCUUGGUGGCCAACUUACGGGUCCAUUUCUUGAGAUGAAUUGUUCUCCGAAGUUUUCCCUCAAAAUGGCCAUAGAAUCGCGAGCUGUGUGGCAUGUAGCGCCAUCUUGUUGAAACCACAUGUCAACCAAGUUCAGUUCUUCCAUUUUUGGCAACAAAAAGUUUGUUAGCAUCGAACGAUAGCGAUCGCCAUUCACCGUAACGUUGCGUCCAACAGCAUCUUUGAAAAAAUACGGUCCAAUGAUUCCACCAGCGUACAAACCACACCAAACAGUGCAUUUUUCGGGAUGCAUGGGCAGUUGGCCACCAAGAUCAUGCGAUUUAACGCCUUUAGACUAUUUUUUGUGGGGCUACGUCAAGUCUAAAGUCUACAGAAAUAAGCCAGCAACUAUUCCAGCUUUGGAAGACAACAUUUCCGAAGAAAUUCGGGCUAUUCCGGCCGAAAUGCUCGAAAAAGUUGCCCACAAUUGGACUUUCCGAAUGGACCACCUAAGACGCAGCCGCGGUCAACAUUUAAAUGAAAUUAUCUUCAAAAAGUAAAUGUCAUGAACCAAUCUAACGUUUCAAAUAAAGAACCGAUGAGAUUUUGCAAAUUUUAUGGGUUUUUUUUUAAAAAAAAAUUAUCAAGCUCUUAAAAAAUCACCCGAUAUCAA
Long non-coding RNA from Bactrocera neohumeralis, 1209 nucleotides. RefSeq lists it as uncharacterized. NCBI's taxonomy places the organism in Eukaryota, Metazoa, Arthropoda, Insecta, Diptera, Tephritidae. The record is from RefSeq and is a predicted model, not a curated record. The transcript is spliced from 2 exons.